Molecule: unclassified non-coding RNA, 400 nt
Filed under: Hevea brasiliensis (rubber tree)
Lineage: Eukaryota; Viridiplantae; Streptophyta; Magnoliopsida; Malpighiales; Euphorbiaceae
Source: RNAcentral
GGCUGCUGAGACGAAAAUGGAGCAGCAGGCGAAGGAGUUAGCCGACGCAAAGGCCCGCAAAUCCGGUUUCUCUGAGAUCUUACUCCCCCACAUCCUCAACUUGUAUGGGUCGCGGGCGACGGCUCGGGAUUUCGAGAUCUAUGCUCCGAAUGCUACUUUUGAGGAUCCGCUGAUGCGGGCUCAGGGGGUGAAGGAGAUCAAGUCUGCGUUUUAUUCACUUAACAAGGUAUUCAGUGAAUCUAAAAUUGUGGAAUACAGCAUUGAAGAAAACACAGUUGCGCCAGGGAAAGUUGAGAUCUUGAUCGACAACAAGCAAUAUUACAAAAUAUUUGGAAGAGAUGUGAAUAUGGUGUCGCUUAUCAAGCUGGAUGUUGAAGACAGCAAAGUCGUUCGACAUCAA